GAAAUCUCACUGUCCAACAAAGGAAAGAUUACUGGCUGUCAGAACAUCACACACAGCACUUCGAAAUCAACCCCUGCUUGUGCCUGCUAUAUGUGCUCAAUUAAAAGUUGCAAUUGUCGACCCUGCCAGAACGUCGGUAAACACGAGUCUAGCGAGAAAGCAAAUCACACCACUUCUCAACACACCCCAAACCAAACCACUCCCUCCCUUUCAGCCUACCCGACAGAGAAUCAACCCCCAGAAACCUCACUGAAUUUGGAAACAAUCCAAACCACACCCUCCCUUAUGUCCAUACAGUCAAUUAGUCAAACACCUCUCCCAGACCUUCCCGAAAGCAACUUUGAACUAGAAUCAAUUAAAACAACACCCCUUGAGAUUUCCCCAGAGAAAAUUUCACCCACCAAAUCAAUCACUCACACCAAAAGUGGUGAUUGUUUGUCAUGUGAAAUAAGCUCUUCGAGCAUACAGAUUGUAAACUUUCCCCUCCCCACACACCCCUUAGAACCUUUAACUACAACCCCUUUAGUCAUGUCAACAGCAUCUACCACCCCAGUAUCAACACAUAGCACGACCUCACCCACUGAAGACAACAAUGUCAACAUUGCUGCUGGUUUAGGUGUGUUUGCACUGCUCGUGUGUGCCGGCUAUGCCUGCAUUCUGUGCGCAUGCAAACAUCUACGCAGAAUGCGAGGUGCCAGAGUCCACAAUGGUGAUUGGGACUAUCGCACAGGACAUGAGCAGAUUCAACUAGCCCGUCUACCAGAACUCUUGCCUGCAUCUCAACCCCGACCAGAACCGCAACCCCUGCCAGCGAUUGAUGAAGAAACAGAGCCGACAGUGGGUGUUGAUCCCCCAUCUGCCAACGCUUGUUCUCCGUACGUGCUUACCUUUGUCGAAGAAGAACAAUGUAAAAAUUUACAGAUCUGAACCUCGGUAAAUUAAAUGUUUUUUGGUGAUGGUUUUUAAUGUGAAUAUUUUUUUUUGGUGAUGGUCUUUAAUGUGAAAUUUUUCUAACUUGAUUGAAAAGGACUUGAGCAGAUACCUCAACCCCUGCUGGCAAUGCAACCCAUCCCAGAACCACAACCCUUUCCAGAACCGCAACCCCUGGCUGAACAACAACCCAUGUCAGAACCGCAACCCCUGUCUGAUCAACAACCCAUUGCAGAACCCCAACCCUUGCCAGAACAACAACCCAUUGCAGAACCCCAACCCUUGCCUGAACCCCUACCUCCGCCAGCUGUUGAGAGUGAUGACGAGACAGUGCCAAAAGUGCUAGCUGAUCCACCAUCAGCUAAUAUUCACUCUCCGUUCGUCCUUAACUUUGAUGUAGAAGGACAAGGUAAAAAAAGACGAAAAAUUUUCAGAGCUGACACUCGGUAACUUUUUUUGUUUUUUUGGUGGCGGUCUUUAAUGUGCAAUUUUCUUACUUGAUUGGCAACUUUUUACUUAUUAUAACUAGAUUUAGUUUUGGUGGUGGAUCACUUUCUUACUGUAAUGAUUGAUUUGAACACCAAUUUUUUAGAUUAUUAAUGCAUAAUUCUUAGAGGAAGAACCAAGCCCACCUUUUGUUCCACGACGCAGCAUGAGACUGAAGACAAAAA
Long non-coding RNA from Cloeon dipterum, 1601 nucleotides. RefSeq lists it as uncharacterized. The record is from RefSeq and is a predicted model, not a curated record. The transcript has 3 exons. NCBI's taxonomy places the organism in Eukaryota, Metazoa, Arthropoda, Insecta, Ephemeroptera, Baetidae.